GACGAACGCUGGCGGCGUGCUUAACACAUGCAAGUCGAACGGUGAAGCCCCAGCUUGCUGGGGUGGAUGAGUGGCGAACGGGUGAGUAACACGUGAGUAACCUGCCCCCUUCUCCUGGAUAACUGCCGGAAACGGUAGCUAAUACGGGAUAUUCAGAUCCUGCCGCAUGGUGGGGUCUGGAAAGGUUUUUCUGGUGGGGGAUGGGCUCGCGGCCUAUCAGCUUGUUGGUGGGGUGAUGGCCUACCAAGACUUUGACGGGUAGCCGGCCUGAGAGGGUGGACGGUCACACUGGGACUGAGACACGGCCCAGACUCCUACGGGAGGCAGCAGUGGGGAAUAUUGCACAAUGGGCGCAAGCCUGAUGCAGCGACGCCGCGUGAGGGAUGAAGGCCUUCGGGUUGUAAACCUCUUUCGCCAGUGAAGCAGGCCAGGCCUUAUUCGCCUGGUUGACGGUAGCUGGAUAAGAAGCGCCGGCUAACUACGUGCCAGCAGCCGCGGUAAUACGUAGGGCGCAAGCGUUGUCCGGAAUUAUUGGGCGUAAAGAGCUCGUAGGCGGCUGGUCGCGUCUGUCGUGAAAUCCCCUGGCUUAACUGGGGGCUUGCGGUGGGUACGGGCCGGCUUGAGUGCGGUAGGGGAGACUGGAACUCCUGGUGUAGCGGUGGAAUGCGCAGAUAUCAGGAAGAACACCGGUGGCGAAGGCGGGUCUCUGGGCCGUUACUGACGCUGAGGAGCGAAAGCGUGGGGAGCGAACAGG
RNAcentral lists this ribosomal RNA (754 nucleotides) under uncultured Actinomyces sp. RNAcentral describes it as "bacterial SSU rRNA". It matches the Rfam family "Bacterial small subunit ribosomal RNA", at positions 28 to 776 of the family's 1533-position model. The record is from RNAcentral. Lineage: Bacteria; Bacillati; Actinomycetota; Actinomycetes; Actinomycetales; Actinomycetaceae.